CAUCCCAAGGUCCAACUCCAAGUCCAUUAACCCAAACGUUAAAACCGCCCCCUCUUCUCAGUCCCUACUCCUUAUAUUAACUUAAUUUCCCGGCCACCUCAGAAAAAAGCCUAUUCAUUCUUUCUUUGUUUCUGAUUUUCGAUAGAAUUUUCAGCUCUCUCUUCCUCUGCCUACGCACCCCAAAACACUUGGCGGAGUGAAAGGGUUUUCUUCUCUCUUUCUCGUUCCUCCGAUUCUCUUCCUUCUCUUCAUGUAAAUGGUGCUGCCGGGUUUGAACGGAGAUAGAGGGACAGUUCCAGCGCCGGAGUCCAUGGCGACCAGUCCCAAGCGAUCAAACCGUCUUCAUAAUUUCAACCUUCCACACUUGAAGUGGGGAAGCCAGAAGUACCUGAGGUGCACAAACUCCGCCGGCUCUAGCCGCUCCAGCAGCGGAGAUCGCCGAUCUUCAGUUUCAAUGUCCGAUGAGUCACCGCCGAGGCGGAAGAGGGAAACGGAACAGGAGAGAAACCACUCGGUGGCAAAGAUGCCGAGGUCGCGAAUCAAUGGCAAGGGCCGCAGCGGUGCCGACGGCGUCAAGGACGGAAUUGAGGCGAUGAGGCAAAAACUGAUGUUUGAUCUGAAAACCGAGGCUGACAAGAUGAAAGACGCCAUUUUGAGGAACAAAGAGGACGACAAGAUGAAUGUGGAGGAGGAUGAAAACGAGCGGGAAUCGCCGCCUUUGUUAGCGGCGGAGGGCGCGAGGACGUGGAAUCUGAGGACAAGGCGAGCGGAGUGGAAGAUUCCAUUCUCCGACGGCGGACUUGGCGGCGGGAGCGAGAAACCGUUGAAGAUUGAUGAGAAUUCCUCUCCUGCAAGAACUGACGGCGGCACCGUUAAGUUGCUGAAGCUUCGAAGCAAUUCCAAUAAGAGCGCGCCGAGGCCGAAAUUCUCCCUUCAAUUGUCAAGGAAGGAGGUUGAAGAAGAUUUCAUAAAGAUGGUGGGCCACCGGCCGCCGCGCAGGCCGAACAAAAGGCCCAGUAGUAUCCGGAAGCAAUUGGAUGGUCUUGUUCCUGGUUCGUGGUUAACAGAGGUUACAGCAGAUUUGUACAAGGUUGCUGAAGACGCAGGGAAUGGAAAGGCGCGACAAUCUGGGAAGGGGAAGGGAAAGGGAAAGGGAAAGGACAAGAUGCUUGUUUCUUCUGACUCUGAUGAAGAAUCUUGAUUUGAAACUUGAAAGCCUAUAACAACAAUCUUGUUUUGUUGCUUUGAAAGCUAAUUUACUUUUGGCUAUGCGAUAUGCUUAUUUACUACGAUAAUUGUUUACUAUGGUCCUGCAAAACUGGUGUAAACCAAGAGCAUAUUGACCCAUUUCUAUGCAAAGAAGCUUCCAAUUACGCGCUAAACGUGGUGGGGAAGAAAGUGUCGAGAAGCAAUUUUGUUGGGUAGCUAAACUGUAGUAGCCUAGUAGGUAUUGAACCUUGUUACUGGCAAUCGGACUUUACAAGCUCGCGAAACGUGAAUUCGACUCUCCUGAGAAGAGUUCAUCUUCGAACCCAAUAUGGUCAUGCAUCACAAGUGAUUUGGUGUGAAGUCGUGACCACCAAGAAGGCAAGAACUACGAUCUGAAAUGAAUAGCUCUAGCAUUGGCAAUGGGCCGGUUAAAAAUGCCCUGAGUUCCAGCCCAGCUCCAUCAUAGGCCUCCAUUUAAGAUUGC
RNA transcript from Arachis duranensis, 1693 nucleotides. RefSeq lists it as uncharacterized. The transcript has 3 exons. The record is from RefSeq and is a predicted model, not a curated record. NCBI's taxonomy places the organism in Eukaryota, Viridiplantae, Streptophyta, Magnoliopsida, Fabales, Fabaceae.